GGCGGACGGGUGAGUAACGCGUGGGUAACCUGCCUCACACACGGGGGAUAACAGUUGGAACAGCUGCUAAAACGCAUAAGCAUACAUUGCCGCAUGGCAGAGUGUGAAAAUAUUUAUAGGUGUGAGAUGGGCCCGCGUCUGAUUAGCUAGUUGGUACGGGUAAUGGCCUACCAAGGCGACGAUCAGUAGCCGGCUUGAGAGAGUGACCGGCCACAUUGGGACUGAGACACGGCCCAAACUCCUACGGGAGGCAGCAGUGGGGAAUAUUGCACAAUGGGGGAAACCCUGAUGCCAGCGACGCCGCGUGAGUGAAGAAGUAUUUCGGUAUGUAAAGCUCUAUCAGCAGGGAAGAAAAUGACGGUACCUGACUAAGAAGCCCCGGCUAACUACGUGCCAGCCGCCGC
RNAcentral lists this ribosomal RNA (404 nucleotides) under uncultured bacterium. RNAcentral describes it as "bacterial SSU rRNA". It matches the Rfam family "Bacterial small subunit ribosomal RNA", at positions 97 to 518 of the family's 1533-position model. The record is from RNAcentral.